Molecule: ribosomal RNA, 467 nt
Filed under: uncultured bacterium
Lineage: Bacteria
Description: partial 16S ribosomal RNA
Rfam family: Bacterial small subunit ribosomal RNA
Source: RNAcentral
GACGAACGCUGGCGGCGUGCUUAACACAUGCAAGUCGAACGGAAAGGCCUCUUUCGGGGGGUACUCGAGUGGCGAACGGGUGAGUAACACGUGAGUAACCUGCCCUUGACUUUGGGAUAACUUCAGGAAACUGGGGCUAAUACCGGAUAGGAGCUCCUGCUGCAUGGAGGGGGUUGGAAAGUUUCGGCGGUUGGGGAUGGACUCGCGGCUUAUCCGCUUGUUGGUGGGGUAGUGGCUUACCAAGGCUUUGACGGGUAGCCGGCCUGAGGGGGUGACCGGCCACAUUGGGACUGAGAUACGGCCCAGACUCCGACGGGAGGCAGCAGUGGGGAAUAUUGCACAAGGGGUGGAAGCCUGAUGCAGCAACGCCGUGUGCGGGAUGACGGCCUUCGGGUUGUAAACCGCUUUCGCUCAUGACGAAGCUUUGUGUGACGGUAGUGGGUAAAGAAGCACCGGCUAACUACGUG